CCUACGGGGGGCAGCAGUGAGGAAUAUUGGUCAAUGGGCGGGAGCCUGAACCAGCCAAGUCGCGUGAGGGAAGACGGUCCUAUGGAUUGUAAACCUCUUUUGUCGGGGAGCAAAGAGGCCACGUGUGGUCAAAAGCGAGAGUACCCGAAGAAAAAGCAUCGGCUAACUCCGUGCCAGCAGCCGCGGUAAUACGGAGGAUGCGAGCGUUAUCCGGAUUUAUUGGGUUUAAAGGGUGCGUAGGCGGGACGGUAAGUCAGCGGUAAAAAUGCGGAGCUCAACUCCGUCGAGCCGUUGAAACUGCCGUU
This 305-nucleotide ribosomal RNA is filed under the name uncultured bacterium. Its description in RNAcentral is "bacterial SSU rRNA". It matches the Rfam family "Bacterial small subunit ribosomal RNA", at positions 338 to 640 of the family's 1533-position model. The record is from RNAcentral.